CAUGGGCGAAACCCCGAUCUGCCAUGCCGCGUGAGUGAUGAAGGCCUUCGGGUUGUAAAGCUCUUUCGGCCGGGAAGAAAUGGAGAGGGCUAAUACCCUGUAUGGAUGACGGUACCGACCUAAUAAGCACCGGCUAACUACGUGCCAGCAGCCGCGGUAAUA
RNAcentral lists this ribosomal RNA (162 nucleotides) under uncultured bacterium. Its description in RNAcentral is "partial 16S rRNA". It matches the Rfam family "Bacterial small subunit ribosomal RNA", at positions 370 to 525 of the family's 1533-position model. The record is from RNAcentral.